Molecule: long non-coding RNA, 205 nt
Filed under: Musa acuminata (dwarf banana)
Lineage: Eukaryota; Viridiplantae; Streptophyta; Magnoliopsida; Zingiberales; Musaceae
Description: long non-coding RNA (MACU_LNC008240)
Source: RNAcentral
GAAUAGCUAUGAUCAUGUUGCCAAAAUGAUAUAUCAUGAAUGCUUGAAUAUCAUGUUUAAUAUGCUCAUAAUGAUUAUUUGGUAUCGUGCAUAAAAAAAAAAAAAUGAAACGUAAUGUUAAUGAAUUUGUGCAUUGAAACUAUAAUGAUGCACAAAGAAGAAUGAUUACUUACCUUUGUCAUGAUUUAAAAAUUGAUGUAAAGGG